Molecule: long non-coding RNA, 662 nt
Organism: Manis javanica (Malayan pangolin)
Lineage: Eukaryota; Metazoa; Chordata; Mammalia; Pholidota; Manidae
Source: RefSeq, a predicted model, not a curated record
AGAAAAAACCUGGUAUUAACAACUCCUAUUUGAGCAGCACUUUACAGUGUGCAAAGAGCUUUCACAACCUUCACUCUUCUCACGCCCACAACACUGCUGUGAACAAUUUUGUGGCAUUUGCAUUUUCUAUAUCAAGAAACAGAGGACUCACCCCCAGGUUGAACAAUGAAUCAAGGUUAAGGCCAAGAUCCUGGUCCUGUUUCUUCUGACUCCAAAUCCUGGACUUUACUCAGCACCGCCCUGGCAAACCAGUUGAAGACCCAGAGGCCAGAGAAGCAAAGAAAGUUGUCCAAGAUCACAGAGCUACUCAAUGGCAAAACUAGACCCGGAAUCCAGACGUCAGGCCAGGGGCUUUUUACAGCCUCUCCAUGUUCUGGAACAGGGUUAGCAAAGCUACUUAAACAGCAAAUGUUCAGGAAGGGAAAUGGCAACACUUCCCAGAAUUCAAGCUGAAGCAAAACACAGAUGACAGAUCAGACGGGCACCUCAUCCAUGAGAGGGAGAGACGGUCGCCAGGGGUCGCUGAGGAAAUUGCUUAUCUGUAAAUAAGAGAGUGAGGUAGGAAACAUCUCGUCUCUGAAAAAAGAGCAUAUUUCCAAACGGAAUUAUAUGUAAAGACUCAAGAGUGUGAGCUGAUGAAGAAAGGUGUUCAUUGAAAUGUG